This 330-nucleotide ribosomal RNA is filed under the name Lycodonomorphus whytii (Whyte's water snake). RNAcentral's name for it is "partial 12S ribosomal RNA". The record is from RNAcentral. Lineage: Eukaryota; Metazoa; Chordata; Lepidosauria; Squamata; Lamprophiidae.
UAAAAACUUAAAAUUUAAAAGACUUGACGGUACUUCAUAUCAACCUAGAGGAGCCUGUCUAAUAACCGAUGAUCCACGAUUAACCCCACCCCCUCUAGCCUCACAGUCUAUAUACCGCCGUCGCCAGCUUACCUUAUGAAAGAAACAAAGUGAGCCAAAUAGUACUACACUAGCACGACAGGUCGAGGUGUAACUAAUGAAGGGGGCCAGGAUGGGCUACAUUUUCUAACCUAGAAAAAACGAACAGACCAUGAAAAUAGAAACUGAAGGCGGAUUUAGCAGUAAGAUAAGAACAAAAUACUUAACCGAAAUUAACGCAAUGAAGUGCGC